RNAcentral lists this ribosomal RNA (449 nucleotides) under uncultured bacterium. Its description in RNAcentral is "partial 16S ribosomal RNA". It matches the Rfam family "Bacterial small subunit ribosomal RNA", at positions 29 to 523 of the family's 1533-position model. The record is from RNAcentral.
AACGAACGCUGGCGGCAGGCCUAACACAUGCAAGUCGAACGCUGUAGCAAUACAGAGUUGCAGACGGGUGAGUAACGCGUGGGAACCUUCCCAAUGGUACGGAAUAGCCCAGGGAAACUCGGGGUAAUACCGUAUACGCCCCUAGGGGGAAAGAUUUAUCGCCAUUGGAUGGGCCCGCGUCGGAUUAGCUAGUUGGUGAGGGAAUGGCUCACCAAGGCAACGAUCCGUAGCUGGUUUGAGAGAAUGACCAGCCACACUGGGACUGAGACACGGCGCAGACGCCUACGGGGGGCAGCAGUGGGGAGGCUUAGACAAUGGGCGGAAGCCUGGUCCAGCCAUGCCGCGUAAGUGACGAAGGACUUAGGGUUGUAAAGCUCUUUUGCCGGGGACGAUAAUGACGGUACCCGGAGAAUAAGUCCCGGCUAACUUCGUGCCAGCAGCCGCCGCGG